Parelaphostrongylus tenuis is the source of this 78-nucleotide non-coding RNA. The record is from the annotation of a GenBank genome assembly. NCBI's taxonomy places the organism in Eukaryota, Metazoa, Nematoda, Chromadorea, Rhabditida, Metastrongylidae.
GACUCGGUAGUGCAGUGGUAGCACGCGUCCCCACUGGUAGCGAGUGAAAUGCGCGGGUUCGACUCCCGCUUUAUGUCG